CUGUGUUACCAUAUUAAGUUGAUUUCAGAUAUUCUAGUCAUAUGGUCGAAUGAUAAGGUUUGGCGAGUAACUAUGACAUGAGUUCGAUUGGGAGGUUGUAUGUUGGAAGGAAUUAAUCACAUGGUAACUGUAAGCGUAAAGGUUCAUUCUUCAUCACCAUUCUAGAUUGCCGUGAUAUACUGCUAAGUGUCACUCACAGACAGUGAGAGAAUAUGAAUGAUUCGAAAUGAAUUGUUCUUAUUUAUCGAUUAGAAGAGUUCUAAUUAAAUAUCAAAGAGUUUGAUGUUGAGCUCCACUGCCAAAUGGUAAUGAACCUAUGCGGUCACACACAUUAGGAAUUGUGUGCACCUGAAUCGUUUGGAUGAAAGUCGUUCACUAAAGAGUUUAGUGUAAGCGAUNGUAAUUUUUAUGAAAAAAAAAGGGAUAAUUGCAUAUGGCUUCCGACAAAGUUAUUUAUCACGUAGCAAAUAUAUCCCUACAAAACUUAUAUUAUCAAAUUCAUUCUCAAAAAGUUUUCCUGUAUAUAAAUAUAUACGUCUGCUACCAAAAUUUAAAUAAUCAUGAGUAAAAAAAACUAACCACGGUUAGCUAAAGAGUAAAAUGACCUUUUAAUCCUCUAUAUAUAUAAUUUGUAUUCCAAUGUUGAGUCCCGUAUAUU
This 658-nucleotide long non-coding RNA is filed under the name Ananas comosus (pineapple). RNAcentral's name for it is "long non-coding RNA (ACOM_LNC026961)". The record is from RNAcentral. Lineage: Eukaryota; Viridiplantae; Streptophyta; Magnoliopsida; Poales; Bromeliaceae.